GACGAACGCUGGCGGCGUGCUUAACACAUGCAAGUCGAACGGAAAGGCUCCAGCUUGCUGGAGUACUCGAGUGGCGAACGGGUGAGUAACACGUGGGUAAUCUGCCCUGCACUCUGGGAUAAGCCUGGGAAACUGGGUCUAAUACUGGAUAUGACCUUUCUCCUUAUGGGGUUUGGUGGAAAGUUUUUCGGUGUAGGAUGAGCCCGCGGCCUAUCAGCUUGUUGGUGGGGUGAUGGCCUACCAAGGCGACGACGGGUAGCCGGCCUGAGAGGGUGAUCGGCCACAUUGGGACUGAGAUACGGCCCAGAAUCCUACGGGAGGCAGCAGUGGGGAAUAUUGCACAAUGGGAGGAAGCCUGAUGCAGCGACGCCGCGUGAGGGAUGACGGCCUUCGGGUUGUAAACCUCUUUCAGCAGGGACGAAGCGUAAGUGACGGUACCUGCAGAAGAAGCACCGGCUAACUAUGUG
This 467-nucleotide ribosomal RNA is filed under the name uncultured bacterium. RNAcentral describes it as "partial 16S ribosomal RNA". It matches the Rfam family "Bacterial small subunit ribosomal RNA", at positions 28 to 507 of the family's 1533-position model. The record is from RNAcentral.